UACACUCCUACGGGAGGCAGCAGUGGGGAAUAUUGCACAAUGGGCGCAAGCCUGAUGCAGCCAUGCCGCGUGUAUGAAGAAGGCCUUCGGGUUGUAAAGUACUUUCAGCGGGGAGGAAGGCGAUAAGGUUAAUAACCUUGUCGAUUGACGUUACCCGCAGAAGAAGCACCGGCUAACUCCGUGCCAGCAGCCGCGGUAAUACGGAGGGUGCAAGCGUUAAUCGGAAUUACUGGGCGUAAAGCGCACGCAGGCGGUCUGUCAAGUCGGAUGUGAAAUCCCCGGGCUCAACCUGGGAACUGCAUUCGAAACUGGCAGGCUAGAGUCUUGUAGAGGGGGGUAGAAUUCCAGGUGUAGCGGUGAAAUGCGUAGAGAUCUGGAGGAAUACCGGUGGCGAAGGCGGCCCCCUGGACAAAGACUGACGCUCAGGUGCGAAAGCGUGGGGAGCAAACAGGAUUAGAAACCCUUGUAGUCCCAUG
RNAcentral lists this ribosomal RNA (476 nucleotides) under uncultured organism. RNAcentral's name for it is "partial 16S ribosomal RNA". It matches the Rfam family "Bacterial small subunit ribosomal RNA", at positions 332 to 799 of the family's 1533-position model. The record is from RNAcentral.